CGAACGUUUGUAGGAGGAGAUUUAUCUGGAUAAUUCGUCGAUUCAGUCAAUAGGUCGAUUUUCUAACGAGAAGACAAAUACUAAUUAAUCGAUAUACGAAUUAGCAUAAAAUCGAUUUUUGCAAAUA
This is a non-coding RNA of Bombyx mori (domestic silkworm), 127 nucleotides long. The record is from RefSeq and is marked provisional. Lineage: Eukaryota; Metazoa; Arthropoda; Insecta; Lepidoptera; Bombycidae.